CUGCGCACCCACCUCCCCAUACCACGGCGGCGGCGGCACUUCACCAGGUCACCUGCUAGGGCGGCGGGACUUCACCAGUUCAUCUGCACGGGCAGCGGCGGGACUCCACCUGCACGGGCGGCAGCGAGACGACUUCACCAGUUCGUCUGCACGGGCGGCGACGGUGCUCCACUUGCACACGCGGUGACGGGGCUCCACUUGCACGCGCGGCGGCGGGCACAUCCUUCAGCAGAUCCGAAGCAAACAUGGCUCCAGGGAGGAAGGGAAUACGAAGCACAAGGGAACCCCCACCAGCUGGAUUCCCAUGUUGCAAAAGGUGUACAUGGCCACAACCCCACUCAUGUUGCUGACAAAACUACGCAAGGAACACGAGGAUCUAAGAGGGUUGUGGCCCCUGAUGUUCCUGGACAAGAAAUUAGAUUCACUAGGCAAAGGAGUGCUGCCAUAAACCAACAAUCCUCCUUAAGCCUAACUACUACUACACAUGCUAGUUCACGAGCCACCACAAACCAAGCAUCCACACAGAACUUGACUACCGCAACACAUUUCACUUCAAGUGUUGCCACUGAGGAAGAUUACACCGAAGGCCUGAAUACUGCUGCACAGCCUACUUCUCCCAUACAAGCUGAGGUCAAUGACCACAAUACAGAUGAAGGCAAGUGA
This 663-nucleotide unclassified non-coding RNA is filed under the name Zea mays. RNAcentral's name for it is "misc RNA Zm00001eb136410". Lineage: Eukaryota; Viridiplantae; Streptophyta; Magnoliopsida; Poales; Poaceae. The record is from RNAcentral.